GAGUUUGAUCCUGGCUCAGAAUGAACGUUGGCGGCGUGGAUUAGGCAUGCAAGUCGUACGGGCCGCAAGGCCAGUGGCGCAAGGGUGAGUAAGGCGACGGUAACCAACCCCAUGACUGGGUAUAGCCGCGGGAAACUGCGGGUAAUCCCCAGCGACGUCCCGGGGGGGCAUCCCCUGGGGACCAAAGCUCCGGCGUCGUGGGACGGGCCGUCGUGGUAUUAGGUUGUUGGCGGGGUAAGGGCCCACCAAGCCUGCGAUGCCUACCGGGCGUGCGAGCGCGACCCGGCACACUGGGACUGAGACACUGCCCAGACUCCUACGGGAGGCUGCAGUCGAGAAUCUUCGGCAAUGGGCGCAAGCCUGACCGAGCGACGCCGCGUGGAGGAUGAAGGCCUUCGGGUUGUAAACUCCUGUCGAGGGGGAAGAAGGUCGGGUAACCGGCUUGACUUAUCCCUGGAGGAAGCACGGGCUAAGUUCGUGCCAGCAGCCGCGGUAAGACGAACCGUGCGAACGUUAUUCGGAAUCACUGGGCUUAAAGCGCGUGUAGGCGGGACGGCACGUCGGUCGCUGAAAUCCCCCGGCUCAACCGGGGAACGGGCGCCGAUACGACCGCCCUGGAGGGACGUAGGGGGACCUGGAACUUCCGGUGGAGCGGUGAAAUGCGUUGAGAUCGGAAGGAACGCCCGUGGCGGAAGCGAGGUCCUGGACGUUUUCUGACGCUGAGACGCGAAAGCUAGGGGAAC
RNAcentral lists this ribosomal RNA (743 nucleotides) under uncultured Singulisphaera sp. Its description in RNAcentral is "bacterial SSU rRNA". It matches the Rfam family "Bacterial small subunit ribosomal RNA", at positions 9 to 769 of the family's 1533-position model. The record is from RNAcentral. Lineage: Bacteria; Pseudomonadati; Planctomycetota; Planctomycetia; Isosphaerales; Isosphaeraceae.